This is an RNA transcript of Phoenix dactylifera (date palm), 2594 nucleotides long. It is a transcript of the gene named ATP-dependent RNA helicase, with no coding region annotated. NCBI's taxonomy places the organism in Eukaryota, Viridiplantae, Streptophyta, Magnoliopsida, Arecales, Arecaceae. The record is from RefSeq and is a predicted model, not a curated record.
GGAAGGUACGGUUGGAGCCUUCCGACCCGCUCUUCUCCGAUUCUCCGGCCCCUCUGUGUCUUGACGCGUCCCCCGCGGAGACCGCCGCGAAGAAGCUUGCGGCCUCCAUACCGAGUCUAAUGGCUCGUUUCCUCCUUCGGAAGAAGCUCUCCUCCUCCACUCCUCUCCCACCCAAUCUCCACGAUACCAUGAUUCGCUCAAUUUUAUUGGAGUUGGAUUUUAAUACCCGGUUACACGCUUGGUGCAGCUUCAGAUGUUUGAGCAGUUAUCACAUCUCUGGGAAGUUCGACUUGACUGACUUGACUCAACCACAUACAUGGUAUCCAAAUGCUCGGAGAAAGAAGCGCAAUGUAUUUUUGCAUGUUGGUCCUACAAACAGUGGAAAAACAUAUAAUGCUCUAAAGCGGUUAGAGUCAAGCUCCUCAGGAGUAUAUUGUGGGCCUCUAAGAUUACUGGCAUGGGAGGUGGCACAGAGAUUAAAUAAAGCUAAAGUUUCUUGUAAUUUGAUUACUGGACAAGAAAGAGAGGAAAUUGAUGGUGCAAAGCACAGCUCAGUAACAGUUGAAAUGGCUGAUGUGACCAGCGAAUACCAGUGUGCUGUUAUUGAUGAAAUCCAGAUGGUGGGGUGUAGAACAAGGGGGUUUUCAUUCACACGUGCAUUAUUAGGGAUUUCUUCAGAUGAACUUCAUCUUUGUGGAGAUCCAGCAGCUGUUCCUCUUAUUCAGAGAAUACUUGAAGUGACAGGAGAUGUGAUCAAGGUUCAAUAUUAUGACAGACUCUUGCCUCUGAUUCCUUUGAAAUAUCCACUUGGAUCUUUCUCCAACAUCAAUACAGGGGACUGUAUUGUAACUUUCUCAAGACGCGAGAUAUACAAGUUGAAGAAAAAAAUUGAAAAUGGAGGAAAACAUCUUUGUUCUGUAGUCUAUGGCUCAUUACCACCAGAGACUCGAACAAAGCAGGCAACAAUGUUUAAUGAUGAAAGUAGUGAGUUUGAUGUUCUUGUAGCCAGCGACGCUAUCGGCAUGGGUCUCAAUCUGAAUAUUUCUAGAAUCAUCUUUUCAACAUUGAAAAAAUUUGAUGGUGUUUAUAACCGAGAACUGACAGUACCAGAAAUCAAACAGAUUGCAGGGAGGGCAGGGAGAUAUGGAUCUAAAUUUCCAAUUGGUGAAGUGACUUGUUUAGAUGCAGAAGAUCUACCUUUGCUUCAUUCAUCUCUGGAAUCUCCCUCUCCUGUUUUGGAGCGUGCUGGACUGUUUCCUACUUUUGAUCUUUUGUCCCUGUAUUCACGAUUGCAUUCAACAACUACUUUCCACCCCAUACUGGAACAAUUCUUAGAGAAGGCCAAGUUAUCUCCAGAUUACUUCAUUGCUGACUGUGAGCACAUGCUGAAGGUUGCCGCUGUUGUUGAUACGUUCCCCCUUGGGUUGUAUGAUAAGUACCUUUUCUGCCUCAGUCCAGUUGACAUGAACGAUGAUAUUGCAGCCCAGGGUUUGACGCAGUUUGCAGAAAACUAUGCAAAGAAGGGCCUUGUUAGACUUAGAGAAAUAUUUACACCUGGAACACUUCAGGUGCCUAAAUCACAGAAUGCACUCAAGGAGCUUGAAUCCAUUCACAAGGUCCUUGAUCUCUAUGUGUGGCUGAGCUUCCGAAUGGAAGAUUCGUUUCCAGACCGUGAACUGGCUUCUUCUCAGAAGGCAAUCUGUAGCUUAUUGAUUGAAGAGUUUUUGGAGAGACUCGGAUGGCAGAGGCAAGGAAAAGGAAGCUAUCGGCACAGCCCCCUUUAUCUGCAGCAAAAAAUAUCAAUGCACUUGACUGUACGGCCUUUACAUUACUGAAAUCCACAUGGAAUCUCUGUAAGGGCCAUUUGACCAAGAUCACACCGUUGCUAGAAAUGCAGCUGAAUUUACAAUCACUCCUGACCCCCACAACUCCUGCCCCUUCUCUUUUUCCACCAUCAACAAUCAACGGAAGUAUGGUUCAUGUCAAUGGAUAUCGAAGUCUGUAAAGGAUAUGGUUCAACUGCUGAGCAUGCUGUGCCAUCAAAAUCCUUAAGUUUAUUGUUUUGUAAAAUUUGAAUGCAGCCACAGAUUAGCUAUGUUCACUUUUGGGGUAUUUUUCUAAAUGUAUACAGCCUUCACUUUUUUCAGCUGGCUUGCGGAAUAAUGGCAGAAAAAAACAGCAAUGUAUCAAGGUAUUGGCAUGUACAAUGAUUGGACAGUGAGGGAAGACGCAUUCGAAUCCAUCGCAUCGUGAUGCAUUAUUUCAUGAUCGCAAUAAGAUUUAUUUUGAAGCAGUUAAACUAGAUCAUGAGGGAUGAUUAAUCUUCAUUCACCCUGUACCAGCAUCACUGGCAGGAGCUUGGUCAUCUGGUUUCCAUCUCAACUUCAUUGGAUCAAAAUUACCAUAACCAUAAUACUAAUUGUCAGUGAGAUACUAAAUAUUGGUUUGAAGAAGGGAAAAAAGGUGUCCCUGCCCCCUGGAGAGUAUGCAGUUUGGUGUAAGGUAAACUUAGGGCCUGUCUGGUAUUGUUGCUGUUUUUGCAUUUUUAUUUCUCUACAAAUUAAUCAAAUCCUACAUGGAGGUGGACUUUGGCA